CCAACGAUCCAGAUGACCUGAGGGCAGCCAUCAAACCAACCUGGGCAGAGCUACAGGCUGAUGGACUCUAUGCCACGGAGCGUUGAUGCAGUAAUUCAUGCAAGACGAGCCCCAACCAAGUGCUGAGAGCAUAGAGGUGGACAGACCUUUAAGAAGCCUGACAUUUGUGCUUGAAACUACUGUUUUUGAGGAGCUGAGUUGCUUUAAGCCAAUUUCCUGUUAUUCAGGGUGACUCCAGCACCUCACGCAGAAAUUAUCAGCAUCUGCGGAAUCCGGAUUGCCUGAUUUGAGAGCCCCCGACACGGGCAGGUGGGCCUGGACGCAGGUGACCCAGCGGCACAGAGGGCACGAGACGGUGUAGAGGGGCCCCUUGUGAAUGCU
Fundulus heteroclitus (mummichog) is the source of this 381-nucleotide long non-coding RNA. RefSeq lists it as uncharacterized. The record is from RefSeq and is a predicted model, not a curated record. NCBI's taxonomy places the organism in Eukaryota, Metazoa, Chordata, Actinopteri, Cyprinodontiformes, Fundulidae. The transcript has 3 exons.